AAGAUGUUAGUAAAACCAUUACAUAGCCUUGUCAAGGCUAUAUCACAGAUGAAAACCCUGUACAUCUUA
Molecule: transfer RNA, 69 nt
Filed under: Phaethornis hispidus
Lineage: Eukaryota; Metazoa; Chordata; Aves; Apodiformes; Trochilidae
Description: tRNA-Asp
Source: RNAcentral